RNAcentral lists this ribosomal RNA (570 nucleotides) under Vibrio sp. RNAcentral's name for it is "bacterial SSU rRNA". It matches the Rfam family "Bacterial small subunit ribosomal RNA", at positions 887 to 1456 of the family's 1533-position model. The record is from RNAcentral. Lineage: Bacteria; Pseudomonadati; Pseudomonadota; Gammaproteobacteria; Vibrionales; Vibrionaceae.
CGCAAGAUUAAAACUCAAAUGAAUUGACGGGGGCCCGCACAAGCGGUGGAGCAUGUGGUUUAAUUCGAUGCAACGCGAAGAACCUUACCUACUCUUGACAUCCAGAGAACUUUCCAGAGAUGGAUUGGUGCCUUCGGGAACUCUGAGACAGGUGCUGCAUGGCUGUCGUCAGCUCGUGUUGUGAAAUGUUGGGUUAAGUCCCGCAACGAGCGCAACCCUUAUCCUUGUUUGCCAGCGAGUAAUGUCGGGAACUCCAGGGAGACUGCCGGUGAUAAACCGGAGGAAGGUGGGGACGACGUCAAGUCAUCAUGGCCCUUACGAGUAGGGCUACACACGUGCUACAAUGGCGCAUACAGAGGGCGGCCAACUUGCGAAAGUGAGCGAAUCCCAAAAAGUGCGUCGUAGUCCGGAUUGGAGUCUGCAACUCGACUCCAUGAAGUCGGAAUCGCUAGUAAUCGUGGAUCAGAAUGCCACGGUGAAUACGUUCCCGGGCCUUGUACACACCGCCCGUCACACCAUGGGAGUGGGCUGCAAAAGAAGUAGGUAGUUUAACCUUCGGGGGGACGCUUA